CACGGCCAAACAACCACACCCACCCAACAAUCAUCCAUUAACUCCCGUCACCAACAUCGGCGACUCAUACACUCUUCCCCCAUCUCCCGACCUCACGAGGCCACACACACACACACACAACCACCUUCAUUCCACGUCACCAAUAUCGGCGACUCAUAACCAUAUCUCCACCUCUCGACCUAAUAGGCCACGCACACACACAAACACCAUUAUUCCGCGUCACCAACAUCGGCGACUCAUACUCACUCCUCCACCUCUCGACCUAAAGAGGCCACACACACACACGAAUACCAUCAUCUCGCGUCACCAACAUCGGCGACUCAUACUCACUCCUCCAACUCUCGACCUCGUUGGGC
This 356-nucleotide long non-coding RNA is filed under the name Carica papaya (papaya). Its description in RNAcentral is "long non-coding RNA (CPAP_LNC001157)". The record is from RNAcentral. Lineage: Eukaryota; Viridiplantae; Streptophyta; Magnoliopsida; Brassicales; Caricaceae.